CGGGGUGUAGCGCAGCCUGGUAGCGCACCUGAAUGGGGUUCAGGUGGUCGCCGGUUCGAAUCCGGCCACCCCGACCA
This 77-nucleotide transfer RNA is filed under the name Chloroflexota bacterium. RNAcentral describes it as "Chloroflexi bacterium tRNA-Pro". It matches the Rfam family "tRNA". From Rfam's summary of the family: Transfer RNA (tRNA) molecules are approximately 80 nucleotides in length. Their secondary structure includes four short double-helical elements and three loops (D, anti-codon, and T loops). RNAcentral also lists the same sequence under 3 other names. Lineage: Bacteria; Bacillati; Chloroflexota. The record is from RNAcentral.